RNAcentral lists this long non-coding RNA (1730 nucleotides) under Ornithorhynchus anatinus (platypus). RNAcentral describes it as "lncRNA (ENSOANG00000036211.1)". Lineage: Eukaryota; Metazoa; Chordata; Mammalia; Monotremata; Ornithorhynchidae. The record is from RNAcentral.
GUCAUUCUCUUGGCGAAACAAGACAGGGAACCAAAAUCAAAGGGAAGAAAGAAUUACAUUGUAAUUUGGCGGCUCUCUAAAGAGGUUAAUCUAUGCUGUAUAUUUUGUAAGCCGGUAUUCGAACAUGAGACUGUGUCUGUUGCUUCACUUUUCCAAAUGAUGAUAAUCAUUAUGUCAUUUAUUAAGAGUUUACUAUGUUCAGUGGAAUUUAUGAAGUGCUUAUGAUGUUCUAAGCCCUGGGUUAAAUACAAUUUUAUCAGAUUGAACACAGUUCCUGUCCCACACAAUCUAUUUUAUCCCUCUUUUACAGAUGAGGAAACUGAGGCCCAGAGCAGUUAAAUGACCCAUCCAAGGUCAUGCAGGCAGCCCGUGGCAGAGCUGAGACUAGAACCCAGAUCUCCUGACCCCCAGUUCCUAAUGCCAGGACUAGAAAGGCUUUUGCUCUGAAGUCCCGGGCCGGCUAGUGGCGCUCGAUCUCAGAAAGCUGAGGAGUCCAGAAAGGAAGGCCCCCCCGCCCCUCCCACCUGAUGGGUGACGGGUGCGGGAAUGGAAACUAAGCUCUUCGAAGAGAGGCCGCGCCCCGCCGAGAGCGGGGGGACAUCGAGGGAGACAAAGCCCGAAGGAGCAGAUGCCAGAUUUCGCGGGCCCGCCUCUCAGCCUGCCACUGACUCCCAUCCGGGGACCUGUUCAGCUGGGAAUAGCGAGACCCCCUCGGUGCUGGUCAGAGGGUCGGGAAACAGUAGUCCCCUCGGUGGGGCGUCCCCCCGCUCCCUUUCGGUCAGAGCUGUGGAUUCUCUCCACCUUUCCCCUUGGGAGAGAAACCUCGCCACGCUUCUUCCAAGCGAACGCCCCAGGGAGACCCCAGAAAGGGGCCCUCAGACCCACAUCAUCCGACAAGAACCCAGCACAAUCGUUUUUGCCAACUACGAGUUUUUAUCCCCUGCCGUCGAUUCUGUGCUCCGCGGCCCAGAGGUCCCGGACGCCGAAGCCUCUUCAUAUGAGUCCGGGGAGGAGGAGGAGGGAGAAGAGGGUGACGAAGAUGUUUUCACCCAGCCAUCCCUUCGCGAGCCGUUUGUCCACGGCCUUCUCCCGAGCAUCAUUCCCGCAGACCAGCCAGAGGCAUGUGAAUUCCCCGAGGAGGGGGAUGUUUGUCUUACACCGAGCCCCCCGGGGCGUUGGGAGAGAGAACCUAAUGAACGGGCGACGGGAGAGAAGCAGAUCCACAAAGCGAGCCCACCGAAGGAGGUCUCUGGAUUUUCAGACUCUAUGUCCGAUCUCAUGAAGAACCUGGAGCAACUGAAUCUAGAUCUUGAAGAAGCUCUCAAUCAUGGCUCUUCUCCUUCUCAGACUACUUCUUUCAAGAGGCGAGAGCAGCAGGUAAAGGUUCCGCCGAAUCCCGUUUAUAUGAACUGAAGUUUAAAUCUCCAAAUGGGAAAAAGUUACUUUCUGUUCAGUGUUUAACACCUUCAUUGUGGAAAUGGAUGUAAAGUUGAAGUAGCGUGGGCUAGUGGAAGGGGUACGGGCCUACGAGUCAGAGGACCUGGGUUCUAAUGCGAGCUCCGCCAUUUGUCUGCUGUGUGACCUUGGGCAAGUCACUUAACUUGUCUGUGCUUCAAUUACCUCAUCUGUAAAAUGGAGAAUUAAGACUGUGAGCCCCACGUGGGACAGGGACUGUGUCCAACCUGAUUAGCUUGUAUCUUCUCCAGUGGUUCAGUGCGUGGACCGUGGUA